This 454-nucleotide ribosomal RNA is filed under the name uncultured organism. RNAcentral's name for it is "partial 16S ribosomal RNA". It matches the Rfam family "Bacterial small subunit ribosomal RNA", at positions 331 to 801 of the family's 1533-position model. The record is from RNAcentral.
GUACACUCCUACGGGAGGCAGCAGUGGGGAAUAUUGGACAAUGGGCGCAAGCCUGAUCCAGCCAUGCCGCGUGAGUGAUGAAGGCCCUAGGGUUGUAAAGCUCUUUCACCGGAGAAGAUAAUGACGGUAUCCGGAGAAGAAGCCCCGGCUAACUUCGUGCCAGCAGCCGCGGUAAUACGAAGGGGGCUAGCGUUGUUCGGAAUUACUGGGCGUAAAGCGCACGUAGGCGGAUCGAUCAGUCAGGGGUGAAAUCCCAGGGCUCAACCCUGGAACUGCCUUUGAUACUGUCGAUCUGGAGUAUGGAAGAGGUGAGUGGAAUUCCGAGUGUAGAGGUGAAAUUCGUAGAUAUUCGGAGGAACACCAGUGGCGAAGGCGGCUCACUGGUCCAUUACUGACGCUGAGGUGCGAAAGCGUGGGGAGCAAACAGGAUUAGAUACCCCGGUAGUCCCAUGAU